UCAAAAGCUAAACCUCCCAUUGGAGAACAGAAAAUUUAAUGAGCUUUUAAUGGAAUGCAAUGCUCAGAGUAGUAAAUUAUUUGUUAGUUGACGAUGCAAUCAGCAUGCUGAUUAAGGUUGCUUGGUUUUUUACUAAACAUUAACUGAAUGAAAACGGGUAGUCCUUGUUCUGCUUGGGGGGCUUUAAGGAAGCAAAUGGACUUUCAGAACAGAGAUUGUCAAUAAAGGAAUACCCAUCUCGAGUUCUGGAUAUGUCCUCUGAGAAGGUGCCCAUGUCACCGACCACACUGGAGGCCAAUGCAGAUACUGGGGGAAGGUUCCAUGGUAGCUAAGUGUGGACAAGCUAAUCACUGAAGUUCCCUGAUGCAGAGCUGAUAAUCUCUCUGGAGUUGGAUGGAAGACUGUGCUGCCUUGAAGCUCUGAGAGAUGCCAUGCCAAUUCAAGGCAAGGUCUUUAUUGUUGAAACUCUUGUGUAAUGACAUCUUUAUUCAGGUGAAAAUACAGGAUGAAUUUCAACUGUAUGAUAUUGUUUAUGUUCAUCAGACAUGUUAUUUGUCUUUACAAAGAUUGGUUUCAAUAAACUGGCUGUGUGACUGAUAUUAAAUAAACAUGGAAUUUUACACAUUCAUAA
Molecule: long non-coding RNA, 631 nt
Organism: Nomascus leucogenys (northern white-cheeked gibbon)
Lineage: Eukaryota; Metazoa; Chordata; Mammalia; Primates; Hylobatidae
Exons: 2
Source: RefSeq, a predicted model, not a curated record